AUGCUUGCUAAUUAUACUUUUAAGGAUGGAAUACCAAAGAAACUUGGAGAUCCAGGAGUACCUACUAUACCAUGCUCCAUUAAGAGAAAUUAUGUUAAAAAUGAUUUAUGUGAUCUUGGAGCCGGUGUCAGUGUUAUGCCUCUCUCUUUAUAUCGUAGACUUGACUUGAAUAAGUUGACACCUAUCGAAAUAUCUUUGCAAAUGGCUGAUAAAUCAACUGCUAUACCUGUCGGUAUUUGCGAGGAUGUGCCUGUUGUAGUUGCGAAUGUUACUAUUUUAACAGACUUUGUUAUUCUUGAUAUUCCCGAGGAUGAUAGUAUGUCUAUUAUUCUUGGAAGACCUUUCCUUAAUACUGCAGGGGCUGUUAUUGAUUGCAACAAAGGCAAUGUCACUUUUCAUGUUAAUGGCAAUGAG
Molecule: ribosomal RNA, 414 nt
Filed under: Triticum aestivum (bread wheat)
Lineage: Eukaryota; Viridiplantae; Streptophyta; Magnoliopsida; Poales; Poaceae
Description: partial small subunit ribosomal RNA
Source: RNAcentral